Molecule: ribosomal RNA, 739 nt
Filed under: uncultured bacterium
Lineage: Bacteria
Description: bacterial SSU rRNA
Rfam family: Bacterial small subunit ribosomal RNA
Source: RNAcentral
AGAGUUUGAUCAUGGCUCAGAACGAACGCUGGCGGCAGGCCUAACACAUGCAAGUCGAACGAUAUAGUGGCAGACGGGUGAGUAACGCGUGGGAACGUACCUUUCACUACGGAAUAGCUCUGGGAAACUGGUGGUAAUACCGUAUACGCCCUUAGGGGGAAAGAUUUAUCGGUGAAAGAUCGGCCCGCGUUGGAUUAGCUAGUUGGUGAGGUAAUGGCUCACAAAGGCGACGAUCCAUAGCUGGUCUGAGAGGAUGAUCAGCCACACUGGGACUGAGACACGGCCCAGACUCCUACGGGAGGCAGCAGUGGGGAAUCUUGCACAAUGGGCGAAAGCCUGAUGCAGCCAUGCCGCGUGAAUGAUGAAGGCCUUAGGGUUGUAAAAUUCUUUCGUCAGGGAUGAUAAUGACCGUACCUGAAGAAGAAGCCCCGGCUAACUUCGUGCCAGCAGCCGCGGUAAUACGAAGGGGGCUAGCGUUGUUCGGAAUUACUGGGCGUAAAGCGCACGUAGGCGGACUUUUAAGUCAGGUGUGAAAUCCCGGGGCUCAACCUCGGAACUGCAUUUGAAACUGGAAGUCUGGAGAUCAGGAGAGGUUAGCGGAAUACCGAGAGUAGAGGUGAGAUUCGUAGAUAUUCGGUGGAACACCAGUGGCGAAGGCGGCUAACUGGACUGAUACUGACGCUGAGGUGCGAAAGUGUGGGGAGCAAACAGGAUUAGAUACCCUGGUAGUCCACACCGU